AGCAUAUCAAUAAGCGGAGGAAAAGAAACCAACAGGGAUUGCCCUAGUAACGGCGAGUGAAGCGGCAACAGCUCAAAUUUGAAAUCUGGCCUCGGCCCGAGUUGUAAUUUGCAGAGGAUGCUUCUGGCGCGGUGCCUUCCGAGUUCCCUGGAACGGGACGCCACAGAGGGUGAGAGCCCCGUAUGGUCGGACACCAAGCCUGUGUGAAGCUCCUUCGACGAGUCGAGUAGUUUGGGAAUGCUGCUCUAAAUGGGAGGUAAAUCUCUUCUAAAGCUAAAUACCGGCCAGAGACCGAUAGCGCACAAGUAGAGUGAUCGAAAGAUGAAAAGCACCUUGAAAAGGGGGUUAAAUAGUACGUGAAAUUGUUGAAAGGGAAGCACUUAUGACCAGACUUGGGCCGGGCGGCUCAUCAGGGGUUCUCCCCUGUGCACUCCGCCCGGCACAGGCCAGCAUCGGUUCUCGUGGGGGGAUAAGACCGACAGGAACGUAGCACCCUCCGGGGUGUGUUAUAGCCUGGCGGACGAUACCCCCGUGGGGACCGAGGUCCGCGCUCCGCAAGGAUGCUGGCGUAAUGGUCAUCAGUGACCCGUCUUGAAACACGGACCAAGGAGUCGUCCAUUAGAGCGAGCGUUUGGGUGUAAAACCCGCACGCGUAAUGAAAGUGAACGCAGGUGAGAGCUUCGGCGCAUCAUCGACCGAUCCUGAUGUUCUCGGAAGGAUUUGAGUAAGAGUUUUAACGGACGGACCCGAAAGACAGUGAACUAUGCUUGAAUAGGGUGAAGCCAGAGGAAACUCUGGUGGAGGCUCGCAGCGGUUCUGACGUGCAAAUCGAUCGUCAAAUUUGAGCAUGGGGGCGAAAGACUAAUCGAACUGUCUAGUAGCUGG
This 885-nucleotide ribosomal RNA is filed under the name Diaporthe sophorae. RNAcentral describes it as "partial large subunit ribosomal RNA". It matches the Rfam family "Eukaryotic large subunit ribosomal RNA", at positions 37 to 954 of the family's 3401-position model. RNAcentral also lists the same sequence under 1 other name. Lineage: Eukaryota; Fungi; Ascomycota; Sordariomycetes; Diaporthales; Diaporthaceae. The record is from RNAcentral.